UACGUAGGUGGCAAGCGUUAUCCGGAAUUACUGGGCGUAAAGCGCACGCAGGCGGCUAGUCAAGUUCGACGUGAAAGCUCCCGGCUUAACUGGGAGAGGUCGUUGAAAACUGGUUAGCUUGAGGCAAUGAGAGGGGUGUAGAAUUCCCGGUGUAGUGGUGGAAUGCGUAGAUAUCGGGAGGAAUACCAGUGGCGAAAGCGGCACCCUAGCGUUGUUCUGACGCUCAUGUGCGAAAGCGUGGGGAGCAAACGGG
This 253-nucleotide ribosomal RNA is filed under the name uncultured bacterium. RNAcentral's name for it is "partial 16S ribosomal RNA". It matches the Rfam family "Bacterial small subunit ribosomal RNA", at positions 524 to 776 of the family's 1533-position model. The record is from RNAcentral.